RNAcentral lists this transfer RNA (72 nucleotides) under Bos taurus (domestic cattle). It matches the Rfam family "tRNA". Rfam says of the family: Transfer RNA (tRNA) molecules are approximately 80 nucleotides in length. The record is from Rfam by way of RNAcentral. RNAcentral also lists the same sequence under 4 other names. Lineage: Eukaryota; Metazoa; Chordata; Mammalia; Artiodactyla; Bovidae.
UCCUGCGUAGCUUAGUCGAUAAAGCAUCUGCCUGCAACGUGGGAGAGCUGGGUUCAAUUCCUGGGUCAGGAA